AGAUAAAGUAGUUGAGCUAAUAGACAAUAUGAGUCUCUUCUUCCUGAGUCUCAGAAGGAAAUAAUUCUGCAGUAGGAGCCUUGGGAGAGAGAGAGCUAUAAAAACAGGUUCUGCUCUGAUGGGCAGACAUGGGGAGAGAGACUAUAUAAUUUUGUACAUUGAAUGAGGCUAAUUCAAAUAGUGUUAAUUGUCCCUCCACCACCAGUCAAGGUGAUGCCUUGAGACUCAGCACAACUCCGCUGGAUCUCCCCUGCCUGGAAUUGAAAGUGUUAGAAGCUGAAUGAUGUUUCAGGAGAAACAAUGAUCUUUGAUUUAGCUGUGUACUCCAUCCAUCCCAGCAUACCUUGGAGCCAGGGGCAGGAAAGCAAAGAAGGGGACAGGUUUGGCCACAUCUCUGAGGACAGAGUCUGUCUAUUCCGACACAUAAAAUGAAGUCAGAAAGACUACUGACAUGACUUACAAAGGAGAUGCCCUGAAACUGGUGCUGGAAACUUGGUCCCUCAUCCAUCAAAAGCAAUAAAGGGAUUCAAGAUGGAGAGGCUGGGCAGUGGGAGAUAGAUUCUUCAGAGC
Molecule: long non-coding RNA, 570 nt
Filed under: Canis lupus familiaris (dog)
Lineage: Eukaryota; Metazoa; Chordata; Mammalia; Carnivora; Canidae
Description: lncRNA (ENSCAFG00845015509.1)
Source: RNAcentral